RNAcentral lists this ribosomal RNA (2904 nucleotides) under Escherichia coli. RNAcentral describes it as "23S ribosomal RNA". It matches the Rfam family "Bacterial large subunit ribosomal RNA". Lineage: Bacteria; Pseudomonadati; Pseudomonadota; Gammaproteobacteria; Enterobacterales; Enterobacteriaceae. The record is from RNAcentral.
GGUUAAGCGACUAAGCGUACACGGUGGAUGCCCUGGCAGUCAGAGGCGAUGAAGGACGUGCUAAUCUGCGAUAAGCGUCGGUAAGGUGAUAUGAACCGUUAUAACCGGCGAUUUCCGAAUGGGGAAACCCAGUGUGAUUCGUCACACUAUCAUUAACUGAAUCCAUAGGUUAAUGAGGCGAACCGGGGGAACUGAAACAUCUAAGUACCCCGAGGAAAAGAAAUCAACCGAGAUUCCCCCAGUAGCGGCGAGCGAACGGGGAGCAGCCCAGAGCCUGAAUCAGUGUGUGUGUUAGUGGAAGCGUCUGGAAAGGCGCGCGAUACAGGGUGACAGCCCCGUACACAAAAAUGCACAUGCUGUGAGCUCGAUGAGUAGGGCGGGACACGUGGUAUCCUGUCUGAAUAUGGGGGGACCAUCCUCCAAGGCUAAAUACUCCUGACUGACCGAUAGUGAACCAGUACCGUGAGGGAAAGGCGAAAAGAACCCCGGCGAGGGGAGUGAAAAAGAACCUGAAACCGUGUACGUACAAGCAGUGGGAGCCUCUUUUAUGGGGUGACUGCGUACCUUUUGUAUAAUGGGUCAGCGACUUAUAUUCUGUAGCAAGGUUAACCGAAUAGGGGAGCCGAAGGGAAACCGAGUCUUAACUGGGCGUUAAGUUGCAGGGUAUAGACCCGAAACCCGGUGAUCUAGCCAUGGGCAGGUUGAAGGUUGGGUAACACUAACUGGAGGACCGAACCGACUAAUGUUGAAAAAUUAGCGGAUGACUUGUGGCUGGGGGUGAAAGGCCAAUCAAACCGGGAGAUAGCUGGUUCUCCCCGAAAGCUAUUUAGGUAGCGCCUCGUGAAUUCAUCUCCGGGGGUAGAGCACUGUUUCGGCAAGGGGGUCAUCCCGACUUACCAACCCGAUGCAAACUGCGAAUACCGGAGAAUGUUAUCACGGGAGACACACGGCGGGUGCUAACGUCCGUCGUGAAGAGGGAAACAACCCAGACCGCCAGCUAAGGUCCCAAAGUCAUGGUUAAGUGGGAAACGAUGUGGGAAGGCCCAGACAGCCAGGAUGUUGGCUUAGAAGCAGCCAUCAUUUAAAGAAAGCGUAAUAGCUCACUGGUCGAGUCGGCCUGCGCGGAAGAUGUAACGGGGCUAAACCAUGCACCGAAGCUGCGGCAGCGACGCUGAUGCGUUGUUGGGUAGGGGAGCGUUCUGUAAGCCUGUGAAGGUGUGCUGUGAGGCAUGCUGGAGGUAUCAGAAGUGCGAAUGCUGACAUAAGUAACGAUAAAGCGGGUGAAAAGCCCGCUCGCCGGAAGACCAAGGGUUCCUGUCCAACGUUAAUCGGGGCAGGGUGAGUCGACCCCUAAGGCGAGGCCGAAAGGCGUAGUCGAUGGGAAACAGGUUAAUAUUCCUGUACUUGGUGUUACUGCGAAGGGGGGACGGAGAAGGCUAUGUUGGCCGGGCGACGGUUGUCCCGGUUUAAGCGUGUAGGCUGGUUUUCCAGGCAAAUCCGGAAAAUCAAGGCUGAGGCGUGAUGACGAGGCACUACGGUGCUGAAGCAACAAAUGCCCUGCUUCCAGGAAAAGCCUCUAAGCAUCAGGUAACAUCAAAUCGUACCCCAAACCGACACAGGUGGUCAGGUAGAGAAUACCAAGGCGCUUGAGAGAACUCGGGUGAAGGAACUAGGCAAAAUGGUGCCGUAACUUCGGGAGAAGGCACGCUGAUAUGUAGGUGAAGUCCCUUGCGGAUGGAGCUGAAAUCAGUCGAAGAUACCAGCUGGCUGCAACUGUUUAUUAAAAACACAGCACUGUGCAAACACGAAAGUGGACGUAUACGGUGUGACGCCUGCCCGGUGCCGGAAGGUUAAUUGAUGGGGUCAGCGCAAGCGAAGCUCUUGAUCGAAGCCCCGGUAAACGGCGGCCGUAACUAUAACGGUCCUAAGGUAGCGAAAUUCCUUGUCGGGUAAGUUCCGACCUGCACGAAUGGCGUAAUGAUGGCCAGGCUGUCUCCACCCGAGACUCAGUGAAAUUGAACUCGCUGUGAAGAUGCAGUGUACCCGCGGCAAGACGGAAAGACCCCGUGAACCUUUACUAUAGCUUGACACUGAACAUUGAGCCUUGAUGUGUAGGAUAGGUGGGAGGCUUUGAAGUGUGGACGCCAGUCUGCAUGGAGCCGACCUUGAAAUACCACCCUUUAAUGUUUGAUGUUCUAACGUGGACCCGUAAUCCGGGUUGCGGACAGUGUCUGGUGGGUAGUUUGACUGGGGCGGUCUCCUCCUAAAGAGUAACGGAGGAGCACGAAGGUUGGCUAAUCCUGGUCGGACAUCAGGAGGUUAGUGCAAUGGCAUAAGCCAGCUUGACUGCGAGCGUGACGGCGCGAGCAGGUGCGAAAGCAGGUCAUAGUGAUCCGGUGGUUCUGAAUGGAAGGGCCAUCGCUCAACGGAUAAAAGGUACUCCGGGGAUAACAGGCUGAUACCGCCCAAGAGUUCAUAUCGACGGCGGUGUUUGGCACCUCGAUGUCGGCUCAUCACAUCCUGGGGCUGAAGUAGGUCCCAAGGGUAUGGCUGUUCGCCAUUUAAAGUGGUACGCGAGCUGGGUUUAGAACGUCGUGAGACAGUUCGGUCCCUAUCUGCCGUGGGCGCUGGAGAACUGAGGGGGGCUGCUCCUAGUACGAGAGGACCGGAGUGGACGCAUCACUGGUGUUCGGGUUGUCAUGCCAAUGGCACUGCCCGGUAGCUAAAUGCGGAAGAGAUAAGUGCUGAAAGCAUCUAAGCACGAAACUUGCCCCGAGAUGAGUUCUCCCUGACCCUUUAAGGGUCCUGAAGGAACGUUGAAGACGACGACGUUGAUAGGCCGGGUGUGUAAGCGCAGCGAUGCGUUGAGCUAACCGGUACUAAUGAACCGUGAGGCUUAACCUU